Molecule: transfer RNA, 78 nt
Filed under: Thermus tengchongensis
Lineage: Bacteria; Thermotogati; Deinococcota; Deinococci; Thermales; Thermaceae
Also listed under: 1 other name
Description: tRNA-Ile
Rfam family: tRNA
About the family: Transfer RNA (tRNA) molecules are approximately 80 nucleotides in length. Their secondary structure includes four short double-helical elements and three loops (D, anti-codon, and T loops).
Source: RNAcentral
GGGGGCGUAGCUCAGGCAGGUGAGAGCGGCGGUCUUAUAAACCGCAAGUCGCGGGUUCAAGUCCCGCCGCCCCUACCA